This is a non-coding RNA of Perkinsus marinus ATCC 50983, 74 nucleotides long. The record is from Rfam. NCBI's taxonomy places the organism in Eukaryota, Perkinsozoa, Perkinsida, Perkinsidae.
GCCCGAUUAGUUCAGCUGGAUAGAAUGUCUGCCUACGGAGCAGAUGGUCGUAGGUUCGAAUCCUGCAACGGGUA